UUUCCCCUGCGGUGUUCGACAGACUCUUAUAUUCUUUGAACCAAGUAUCUUAACAGGUCGCGACUCAAACGCCGCUGUUGUGAACGUCCCUCGCGGAUGAUCCUGAUGCGGCAGAGAAGUGACCCUCUUGAACCCUACGGUUCGAGAUGCUGGGUCAACGGCACAGGCGGGGGUUCU
This 177-nucleotide non-coding RNA is filed under the name Gallionellales bacterium CG_4_9_14_0_8_um_filter_55_61. RNAcentral's name for it is "6S RNA". It matches the Rfam family "6S / SsrS RNA". Rfam says of the family: E. coli 6S RNA was the first non coding RNA to be sequenced, but its function was unknown until recently. It consists of 184 nucleotides that fold into an extended hairpin structure with a large single-stranded internal bulge. Lineage: Bacteria; Pseudomonadati; Pseudomonadota; Betaproteobacteria; Nitrosomonadales. The record is from RNAcentral.